UCCCAUUUGGUGCCCCCCACACCUCCACCUCCACCCUCACUUUACUCUGAUCUUUCUGAACUUCCUUGACCAGAUCUCUUUUCUCUUUCUCCUGCUUGUUCCAAGCUACCAUCUUUCCCUCUGUCUGCCACUCACUCAACAGAAGUCAGAAGAGAGACUAACUUCCAAGACUCUACCUCCUGCCUAUUCCCUGAUAUCCCUGGUGGCAACUUCUCAUCUGGAAGAUGAAGGAAAAGGGGACCCUGCAAGAACAUCUUAUAUGAUUAUUCUUUUUCAGGAACAACUGGUGCAGGGUGCAACAGUCAUCCAGCAUGUGGAUGACCUUCUCACUUGUUCAGACACAUAUCUACUUUUCAGGAAGAUAUCUAGAUUUACUCAAACAGCCACCAAGAGAUACAAAGCGUCUAAAGACAGACUUCAGCUAUGCCUGCCACAAGUUAAGUAUUUGGGGCAUAUUAUCUCAGUGAAAGGACUCAGUAUUAACCCUGAUAGAAUGAAAGGAAUUUAAUGUUUUCCAAUGCCUAUUAUUGAAAAACAACUUAGAGAAUUUUUGGAACUGGCUGGCUACUGCAGGAAUUGGAUUCUGCAUUUCUCUCUUAUGGCUCAACCUCUGUAUGCAUACCUAUAAAAAUGAACAAUCUGACUCCAUCAUGUGGACUCCAGAGAGACAAUCAACUGUACAACAAUUAAAGAAAACCCUUCUAAAGUUUCAUCAUAUUCAAAACCUGUCUGCCAGCUAGCUGGCCUCUUAUAAAGUUUCACUUUUUCAUCUCCAAA
Molecule: long non-coding RNA, 777 nt
Organism: Pan troglodytes (chimpanzee)
Lineage: Eukaryota; Metazoa; Chordata; Mammalia; Primates; Hominidae
Exons: 2
Source: RefSeq, a predicted model, not a curated record